GAUGAAGAACGUAGCGAAAUGCGAUAAGUAAUGUGAAUUGCAGAAUUCAGUGAAUCAUCGAAUCUUUGAACGCACAUUGCGCCCGCUAGUAUUCUGGCGGGCAUGCCUGUCCGAGCGUCAUUUCAACCCUCAAGCCCCCGGGCUUGGUGUUGGGGAUCGGCGAGCCUCCGCGCCCGCCGUCCCCUAAAUCUAGUGGCGGUCUCGCUGUAGCUUCCUCUGCGUAGUAGCACACCUCACACUGGGAAACAGCGCGGCCACGCCGUUAAACCCCCAACUUCUGAACGUUUGACCUCGGAUCAGGUAGGAAUACCCGCUGAACUUAAGCAUAUCAAUAAGCGGAGGA
RNAcentral lists this unclassified non-coding RNA (343 nucleotides) under soil metagenome. RNAcentral's name for it is "partial contains 5.8S ribosomal RNA, internal transcribed spacer 2, and large subunit ribosomal RNA". The stretch from base 1 to 120 matches the Rfam family "5.8S ribosomal RNA", at positions 35 to 154 of the family's 154-position model. The record is from RNAcentral.